Molecule: long non-coding RNA, 970 nt
Filed under: Lathyrus oleraceus (garden pea)
Lineage: Eukaryota; Viridiplantae; Streptophyta; Magnoliopsida; Fabales; Fabaceae
Description: Pisum sativum (pea) long non-coding RNA (PSAT_LNC016817)
Source: RNAcentral
UUUUCUUUCUUCACUCAAUUCUCUGUCUAUGUUCUUUUCCCUUUCUUUUGCGCUCUCUACCUCUCUUCCCAUCCGACCACCACCAAACCCAUACACCAACCCCAAAACCACUGACCCCUCUAGGUUUCUGGUUGAGCUUCAACGGGAACAUGUAAACCUUUAACUAGUGUUCAUCCAAAUGAUUAACACCAACCCAAACACCAUUCGCCACCGUCCCAAACUCCGUCUAACCCAUAUCUCUAAUUGAACUUCAAUCGGGAUCUUUAAACCUUCAAACCCUCAACCCAGAAACUCUUCAAACCCAAAAACCCUAACCUUAAACCCUUAGAACCCUAACUUGGGUUCAACAUGAACUAUAACUCUAAACCCAAAAAUAUGAACCCUAGGAGCCAUAACCCUAACCUGAGCCCAGAAAUACCCCAAACCUACCCAGAUCAACCUCAAACCCUAGUUGAUCCAUAGAUCAGACCCCUCUGAACCCCAAUCAAAACUUCAAAAAACAAAUCAAACGACAAAAUUUCUUAAAACCCUAAUCCAACUUCUACGCAACAAUCACACACAAUCACAUAUUUAUUGGUUCAAAGAAACCCCUAUUUUCCAUGUCGUGUCCAAAUUCAGUUGUGUCCUUUCCCUUUUUCUGAUUUGUCUAUUUUCUUCUUGAUUAUAUCCUCUCUAAUCUCCUUCUUUCUUUGUUUGCAGAUGCUUCUAAUUAAUGAUGGAGGUCUAUCUCGGAGCGACUUAAGGUUUCUAUGUGAAACCUUAAGGAUUCAAAAAUCGGAGCUUUAGAGAAUGGGUUAGAGAUUGCAGCAGCUUUUGUGGUUCUAAUUUUGUCUUCCCCUUCUUCUGAAUUAGACUUAGGUUUUUAUAGGUUAAAUUAGGUUUAGACUCUUAAAUUAGAUUGAUUGUAUUAGGAAACUUAGGAUUUGAUUUAUUGUAAUUAGAAAUUAGGUUUCCGAUUUGAUUGCAUCUG